Molecule: non-coding RNA, 66 nt
Filed under: Fukomys damarensis (Damara mole-rat)
Lineage: Eukaryota; Metazoa; Chordata; Mammalia; Rodentia; Bathyergidae
Source: RNAcentral
GUGUUGUAUGACAGGAGAGAAGUUUAGCACUCCCCUUGAUAAGAAUGGAAGAGGCUGUUGGUUUUU